This 774-nucleotide ribosomal RNA is filed under the name uncultured bacterium. Its description in RNAcentral is "bacterial SSU rRNA". It matches the Rfam family "Bacterial small subunit ribosomal RNA", at positions 61 to 831 of the family's 1533-position model. The record is from RNAcentral.
GUCGACGGCAGCACGGGAGCAAUCCUGGUGGCGAGUGGCGAACGGGUGAGUAAUAUAUCGGAACGUGCCCAGUCGUGGGGGAUAACGUAGCGAAAGCUACGCUAAUACCGCAUACGAUCUAUGGAUGAAAGCGGGGGAUCGCAAGACCUCGCGCGAUUGGAGUGGCCGAUAUCAGAUUAGGUAGUUGGUGAGGUAAAGGCUCACCAAGCCGACGAUCUGUAGCUGGUCUGAGAGGACGACCAGCCACACUGGAACUGAGACACGGUCCAGACUCCUACGGGAGGCAGCAGUGGGGAAUUUUGGACAAUGGGCGCAAGCCUGAUCCAGCAAUGCCGCGUGCAGGAUGAAGGCCUUCGGGUUGUAAACUGCUUUUGUACGGAGCGAAAAGGCUCUCACUAAUACUGGGGGCUCAUGACGGUACCGUAAGAAUAAGCACCGGCUAACUACGUGCCAGCAGCCGCGGUAAUACGUAGGGUGCAAGCGUUAAUCGGAAUUACUGGGCGUAAAGCGUGCGCAGGCGGUCUUGUAAGACAGAUGUGAAAUCCCCGGGCUUAACCUGGGAAUGGCAUUUGUGACUGCAAGGCUGGAGUACGGCAGAGGGGGAUGGAAUUCCGCGUGUAGCAGUGAAAUGCGUAGAUAUGCGGAGGAACACCGAUGGCGAAGGCAGUCCCCUGGGCCUGUACUGACGCUCAUGCACGAAAGCGUGGGGAGCAAACAGGAUUAGAUACCCUGGUAGUCCACGCCCUAACCGAUGUCAACUGGUUGUUGGGCCUU